GGGGGGCGCGCGGGGAGCGGGAGGCAGCGGGCGCCCGGGAGGGGCGGCGGCCAGGGGCCCGCCCGGCAGGGGGUGCAGCGCCCGGCGGGCUGGGGGACGCCGGGCGGGCGUCCGGGGUGGCCGGGAGCGGAGGUGGCGGGCGAGCGAAGCGGGUGGGCGACCGGCGCGGGCGGCCCCCCUCGCGCCUUCCCUGCGGCCGCCGCGGACUCCGAGCGGCUGCGGCGCGGCCUGCGGCGAACCGAGCGACACAGAUCCCUGCACGCCACGCCGCCCCUUCCCCACCUGCGCGGCCUAGGGCCUCUGCCCAGCCUCUUCCAGAAGGAUCACCGGGAUCACCCUGGGAUGGGUUAAGGCAGCCCACAAGUCCAGCUGCCAGGUGACGACAGCGAGAAGGCACCAGUGUGCAAACCAGGAAGAGAAUUCUCCCUAGGAACCUGAUCGGCUUGCACCUUGAUUUUUUGGACUUCUCAGCCUCCGAACCCGAGAAAUAAAUGUCUGGUGCUUUAGGCCACCCUGUCUAUG
This is a long non-coding RNA of Panthera uncia (snow leopard), 522 nucleotides long. RefSeq lists it as uncharacterized. The record is from RefSeq and is a predicted model, not a curated record. The transcript is spliced from 3 exons. NCBI's taxonomy places the organism in Eukaryota, Metazoa, Chordata, Mammalia, Carnivora, Felidae.